GAUCAUGGCUCAGGAUGAACGCUGGCGGUAUGCCUAACACAUGCAAGUCGUACGAGUAGUUUUUAACUCUAGUGGCGGACGGGUGAGUAACACGUGAGAAUUUGCCUUUAGGAGGGGGAUAACAAUUGGAAACGAAUGCUAAUACCCCAUAUGCUUUUGAGUGAAAUGGAUUUUAUCCGCCUAGAGAGAAGCUCGCGGCUGAUUAGCUUGUUGGUAAGGUAAGAGCUUACCAAGGCGACGAUCAGUAUCUGGUUUGAGAGGACGAUCAGACACACUGGAACUGAGACACGGUCCAGACUCCUACGGGAGGCAGCAGUGGGGAAUUUUCCGCAAUGGGCGAAAGCCUGACGGAGCAAUACCGCGUGAGGGAAGACUGCCUAUGGGUUGUAAACCUCUUUUUCAGGGAGGAAUAAAUGACGUGUACCUGAAGAAUAAGCAUCGGCUAACUCCGUG
RNAcentral lists this ribosomal RNA (453 nucleotides) under uncultured bacterium. RNAcentral's name for it is "bacterial SSU rRNA". It matches the Rfam family "Bacterial small subunit ribosomal RNA", at positions 15 to 507 of the family's 1533-position model. The record is from RNAcentral.